Molecule: non-coding RNA, 29 nt
Filed under: Rattus norvegicus (Norway rat)
Lineage: Eukaryota; Metazoa; Chordata; Mammalia; Rodentia; Muridae
Source: RNAcentral
UGGGUCUACGCAAGGCCCUGAGUGGCCCC